Molecule: ribosomal RNA, 780 nt
Filed under: Goniozus akitsushimanus
Lineage: Eukaryota; Metazoa; Arthropoda; Insecta; Hymenoptera; Bethylidae
Description: eukaryotic LSU rRNA
Rfam family: Eukaryotic large subunit ribosomal RNA
Source: RNAcentral
AAACCGUUCAGGGGUAAACCCGAGGAACCCAAAAGAUCGAAGGGGGAGAUUCAUCGUCAGCGGUGCAGGCUGCUCGAUGAUUCGCGAUGUCGCGGGCUACGGCCCGACGUCACGCGGUCGUCGUGGCAUUGUCCGGUAACGUCGGCGUGCACUUCUCCCCUUGUAGAACGUCGCGACCCGUUGGGUGUCGUUCUAAGGCCCGGAUGGCUGCCUGUCUCGACGUUUCGGCGCAUCGAGACAGACCACCGGUCGCCAGUAACGGCUGCCCGGCGGUACACACACGGUAUAGAGCCGCAGCAAUUUUAUUGAUUGCGUCGGACCCGCCGCAAGCGAGGCCAGUGUCUCACCGGGAAUCGCGGACCCAGUGCCGUCCCCGGUCCUGGCCAGCUGUUGGUAGGCGGUGUUCUCCGACUGGCCGAUUUUACCGGUCGGCGACGCUACUGCUUUGGGUAAUCUCAGGACCCGUCUUGAAACACGGACCAAGGAGUCUAACAUGUACGCGAGUCAUUGGGACCGCAUACCUAAAGGCAAAAUGAAAGUGAAGGUCGACCUCGCGUCGACCGAGGGAGGAUGGAUCGCGUUACGAUGCGACCCCGCACUCCCGGGGCGUCUCGUUCUCAUUGCGAGAAGAGGCGCACCCAGAGCGUACACGUUGGGACCCGAAAGAUGGUGAACUAUGCCUGGUCAGGACGAAGUCAGGGGAAACCCUGAUGGAGGUCCGUAGCGAUUCUGACGUGCAAAUCGAUCGUCGGAACUGGGUAUAGGGGCGAAAGACUAAUC